This is a long non-coding RNA of Neofelis nebulosa (Clouded leopard), 365 nucleotides long. RefSeq lists it as uncharacterized. Lineage: Eukaryota; Metazoa; Chordata; Mammalia; Carnivora; Felidae. The record is from RefSeq and is a predicted model, not a curated record. The transcript has 6 exons.
CUCUGGAGCUGUGGAUCAGAAAGGGCAAAGUAUAUUAAAUGGACAAGUAGAAGGAGCAGAUAAGAAUGCUGAGGAAGAUUCUAGAGCCAGGCUUUCUGACAAACCUGGUCCUGACGAUUCAUGGUCUACCUCAUCUAGCGAAGACUUAGAUUUUGGUACCAAGAGUAUGUCUGAGAAGCCCAACAAAUAUGUCCCUCAUGUCUCUGGAGCUGUGGAUCAGAAAGGGCAAAGUAUAUUAAAUGGACAAGUAGAAGGAGCAGAUAAGAAUGCUGAGGAAGAUUCUAGAGCCAGGCUUUCUGACAAACCUGGUCCUGACGAUUCAUGGUCUACCUCAUCUAGCGAAGACUUAGAUUUUGGUACCAAGG